This 410-nucleotide ribosomal RNA is filed under the name Bombina orientalis. RNAcentral describes it as "partial 12S ribosomal RNA". It matches the Rfam family "Bacterial small subunit ribosomal RNA", at positions 918 to 1533 of the family's 1533-position model. Lineage: Eukaryota; Metazoa; Chordata; Amphibia; Anura; Bombinatoridae. The record is from RNAcentral.
GCCCCACCCACCUAGAGGAGCCUGUUCUAUAAUCGAUAACCCCCGCUUAACCUCACCACUUCUUGCCAAUACCGCCUAUAUACCACCGUCGCCAGCCCACCCCGUGAGGGAAAUAGUAGGCACAAUGAUAAGUCACCAAAACGUCAGGUCAAGGUGUAGCGUAUGAAGUGGAAAGAAAUGGGCUACAUUCUCUAACCUAGAGCACACGAAAAAUCAUAUGAAAUUAGAUUAGAAGGAGGAUUUAGUAGUAAAAAGAAACAAUAGUGUUCUUUUUAAGUUGGCCCUGGGGCGCGCACACACCGCCCGUCACCCUCUUCAACUAAUAAAACACAAUUUAUAAAACACAAAACAAACACAAGAAGAGGUAAGUCGUAACAUGGUAAGUAUACCGGAAGGUGUGCUUGGAAUUA